Molecule: non-coding RNA, 97 nt
Filed under: Paracoccus sediminis
Lineage: Bacteria; Pseudomonadati; Pseudomonadota; Alphaproteobacteria; Rhodobacterales; Paracoccaceae
Description: TPP sequence
Rfam family: TPP riboswitch aptamer (THI element)
About the family: Vitamin B(1) in its active form thiamin pyrophosphate (TPP) is an essential coenzyme that is synthesised by coupling of pyrimidine and thiazole moieties in bacteria.
Source: RNAcentral
GACAGAACCUCGGGGGGCCAUCCGGCUGAGACGCGAAAGCGGACCCGUUGAACCUGAUCCGGCUAACACCGGCGGAGGGAAGGUGACGCUGUCCUUU